Molecule: long non-coding RNA, 505 nt
Organism: Cyprinus carpio (common carp)
Lineage: Eukaryota; Metazoa; Chordata; Actinopteri; Cypriniformes; Cyprinidae
Source: Ensembl
GUUCACAUUUUUGUUCUAUAUAAGUCAUUUAGUAGCAGCUAUGCAGAUUAAAGCUUGGAGCUACAGUACUUCCUAACUUGUUAUAGACUUGCAAACAGAGUUUUAACAGAGCGCGAUUGGCUUGUUUGUAAGUUGUGGCUGUUUUGUUUUAUUUGAGUUCGCUGCGUCGGUCUCCUAUGAGGCAAUACGGCACUCUCCUUAGACCAUGAUGUGUUGUUUAAAACCUAAUCAGAGACUAACUAGUCCCCAGUUAUUUGUUUCGGGGCCCUGAUGCUUGAGAGUUCCCAGAUGUUGUGGAAGAAGAACAGAUCAUGAGAAAUGUUCAGCUUGGGAUAGAAUCGGGUGAUGUUUCAAAGCGGAAAAGAACAAAAAAAGUUGGAUCCCUGUCAGACUUGAUCUGCAGAUCAGGCUGACUCGUCUGUCUCAUCAGGAGCAACUUAUGUGAACAGACGGCUAGCAGCAUGGUUAAAAUAAAAAGAAAAAAAGAACAAAUCUUAUAUUCUUA